CGUUACUUUGGCUUUGACUGUUGGAUACUCAGCUGGGAAGAGCCUGAAACUCAACUCCUCUAGUCACAGGCCAUUGGAUUUUUUAGCCUAGAAAGAAGAAUCAAGCUCAUUGGACCAUAGAACCAGAGUUUUUUGGAAUAGUUUCUCCUCUGUGACAGAAACCAACCCAUUACCCAUUAUUUUAUUGACAUCACUUCGCCAAAUAUAGAAUACUCACCAAUGCAACGUGGGACAAAUUUCCAAGCUCCAUUUUCACAUUUAAUUUUUUUUGGUCCCUGGAGCAUGUAAUUAUCUUCACACUUAACAGCAACUGUUUCCCCAUUCAGAAAACUCACUGAUGUUGAUACAAUCAGAGACUGAGGUAUUUGAGGUGGGGGUGAGCACGUUUUUCUUCUCUCUUCUGCAAAUAAGAAAUGAUUCUUUCAGAAAUAAAUGUAAAAUUCUUAGUGAA
This is a long non-coding RNA of Ornithorhynchus anatinus (platypus), 451 nucleotides long. RefSeq lists it as uncharacterized. The transcript is spliced from 2 exons. The record is from RefSeq and is a predicted model, not a curated record. NCBI's taxonomy places the organism in Eukaryota, Metazoa, Chordata, Mammalia, Monotremata, Ornithorhynchidae.